RNA transcript from Centruroides sculpturatus (bark scorpion), 1639 nucleotides. RefSeq lists it as uncharacterized. The transcript is spliced from 2 exons. Lineage: Eukaryota; Metazoa; Arthropoda; Arachnida; Scorpiones; Buthidae. The record is from RefSeq and is a predicted model, not a curated record.
UUCAGUGCGGCAGUCCGGGAGGAAGUAGUGAGAUGCUCUUAGAGAAGAAUCUUCGAAUUCACCCUUCCGAGUUUGCCUCAAACAAAAUGCUAAACGUAGUAGAAAAAGGAAGAUUCGAUGAGAAUCGAGUGAGUGUAGUAGGACGUAAUGGCCAAUCUUUCGUCCUGUGGAGAAAAUCCUUGAUAGAAAAGAGAGGAUUACUGAAAAACUCCGUAACGUUGUGUCCGAACGAAAGCAAGUUUAUCCUCAAACUAUCUCUAACACCAGGAACACUGAAUCAACUCGUCAGGUUUUUAUAAAUCUAGUCUUUAAAAGUUAAUUUUCCGCUCGAUAUACAAGUAUAUUACGUAACAAUACGAGUAAUCGUACUGAAUGAAAAAUCCCCCGUCUGUUUAAAAACAUUGGUACGAGUAUCUAAAAUAAUUUGCAUACGUUAACAACCGGAACGAAAAAAAACAUUGGCGAAAUCCAAUUAUUCGUUUAUCUGUUUGACUCGAGGAUAUUUUUGACAGACAAAAGUGUUACUUUUACUUCUGCAGACGAUGCAUUCCGAAUGUCCUUAUUGGGAAAACGUUACCACAUUAGCCCAUUAGUAAAAAUAUGGUUUUAUUAUCUCGUCGGAAUGAUUUAUUCUCACUCUCACCACGUUUAUUGUAUUCAUUGUUUGGCCGUCAGACACCACGAAAAACAGUUGCAAUAUUAUAGUUUCUAACGAUUGAAUAGCACUGACGAAAGCAUAUCACGUUCUGACGAUUUCAAAUCGUGCGAAGAAACUAAUAUUUACGAGUUAUUGACGUGUCCUGCCUACGUCAAGGUGGAGGAACAUCAUCCGUUGCUCGGACUUCGCACCCGGGUGAAAGAACCGGAACAUCUAAAAGACAUCGCGAAAAACUUCAAUAAUGAUUUUCGAUCGGCAAGACAAUUUCCCGCUGGGAAAAAUGUGACCCAACUACUGGCAGCAAUUUCUGCUAACGUUAAACAGCGAAAACAUUCCAAUUAUUUUCUGUUACUCGCCUUAACUCUGGCGAGAAAAGGAAUAUUGUCAGAAAAAAUAAAAAGACGGAAGACAACUUGCUGUUUAUGGCCGAUAUCUGGGUACCGGAAAACUACAUUGUAGACUCAAUUAAAUUGCCAAUCAUCCAUCGUAGAUCCGGAGGAAUUAAGGUUUUGGUCGGUGUUAAGCGUAGUUAUUCGCGGUGUUUCGUGUACGAAAGAGGCAUCUGCGACCCAAACGGAGUCGUACCGUUAGAAAAACUGAAAUUGUUGCCAAAGCGAAGCUUUCAUAUAAUUUCGGUUAAAGUUCCGAAAGAGGAAAUCGAUUCGAUUAAAAUUAAGGUUCUAAACAAAAGGAAUUACGUUCCAAUAUACGAUUUCCGAGAGGAAAGUACGAGAGGUGAAUACGAAAAGACGAAAUUUAUCUGUGAUAUUAACGUUAUUUAAAAUUUAAUAAAGGCUUUAUCGUAGGACGAGUCGGUGUUUUUAACAGAAGAAUCCUUCGUUUGUAGAAGUUUUAAUUCGAACGAUGCGUAUGAAUUUUAGAAAAUAACGAAAAAUUCUAUUUAUUUAUUUAAUAAUAAAUAAUAAAAUCCCAUCUUUACCGCGAAUAGAAAUGAUUUUACCUGGUGUAUCGUUGUGAUAU